UACGUAGGGGGCAAGCGUUGUCCGGAUUUAUUGGGCGUAAAGAGCGUGUAGGCGGCUUGGUAGGUCCGCUGUGAAAACUCGAGGCUCAACCUCGAGAUGUCGGCGGAAACCACUUGGCUAGAGUCCGGAAGAGGAGAGUGGAAUUCCCGGUGUAGCGGUGAAAUGCGCAGAUAUCGGGAAGAACACCCGUGGCGAAAGCGGCGCGCUGGACCACUACUGACGCUGAGGAACGAAAGCUAGGGGAGCAAACAGG
RNAcentral lists this ribosomal RNA (253 nucleotides) under uncultured bacterium. RNAcentral describes it as "partial 16S ribosomal RNA". It matches the Rfam family "Bacterial small subunit ribosomal RNA", at positions 524 to 776 of the family's 1533-position model. The record is from RNAcentral.